This 2810-nucleotide long non-coding RNA is filed under the name Homo sapiens (human). Its description in RNAcentral is "HSALNT0084798". Lineage: Eukaryota; Metazoa; Chordata; Mammalia; Primates; Hominidae. The record is from RNAcentral.
AGCAAGUUGCCUGAGCUCACAUCGUCAAGUGACACAGCCAGGAUUUACACCCAGGCUCUCUAACGUCAGAGGCUGCCAGGUCCAUGCCCAGGGCUACUCUGGAGACACACAUUUCCCUUCUUACUACCAGUUGUAGAGUCCUGGGCUUUUUACCUCACCUCUACCAGGUAAACAGCAGCAGUGCCCCAGGGAAGAAGCCUAGCCCACUUCACCUCUGUUUGCAGGAUGAUAGAUUCCUGCCGAAUUUUCAGAGAAUGAUUCGAAAUGAGGCCAGAGAGAGGAUAAUGGAGAGCAUUUAGAAGCCUGCCUUACUACUUAUCUUUGGUUUUAGCUCAUGAUUGCUUAAAAAAUUUCUUAUUAGCAUGAGAGAGAGAGAGAGAGGAAAAGAAGACUGAAAAUAAACAUUUUUUACACCAAAAAAUGUAGUGGGAGAUUUGUAGGCUUUUCUGCCAGACUGCAGGCUACAAGACAGAUUUGUGGGUAAAACCUAAGCUCUUCGUGUUUGUUCUUUCUCAUUUCGUCUCUUGUAUGCUUAGUGCACAUUAAAGAAAAGCUAAUUAGGCUAUGAUAGGAAAAGCACAAAUAAUCCUCAUUCCUAAACAAUGCUAUCUAUUCACUGCAAAAUAUUUGCAUGAAAAGGUAUUUUCUUAUUUUGAGGGAAAUAAAGGUAGCGAAUGAACUGCCCUACUUUAUAUUUUAGUUUCUGACUGUAUGUUCUUAAAAUGUCUCAAUAAUCCGAACAUAGAUUUUCAAAUCUGGGUUUCCUAAUCCAAAGCCAAAUGGAUUGAGAAUAGGUUUUAUAGGCCAUUGGUGCCAAUACAUAUUUCUAGAUGAUGGUUAUAAAACAAAAUAUUUUUUUUAAAUUUUUUUGAAGCAGAGUCUCCCUCUGUUGCCUGGGCUGGAGUGCAGUGGUGUGAUCUUGGCUCACUGAAACCUCUGCCUACUGGGCUUAAGUGGCCCUCCCACCUCACCCUCCCAAGUAGCUGGGACCACAGGCACAUGCUAAUUUUUGUAUUUUUGGUAGAGAUGGGGUUUUGCCCUGUUGCCCAGGCUGGUCUCACCUAAGCUCAAAUGAACCACCCACCUCUGCCUCCUAAAAUGCUGGGAUUACAGGCGUGAGCAACUGCACCUGCCAAGAUUCUUAAUUUCAGUGUAAAUUCGUUUCCUAGGGCUUCCACAACAAGUUACCAAACCCUGGGUGGCUUAAAACAACAGGAUUUCAGGUUCUCGUCAUCUGGAGGUCUGAAGUCUGGAGUCAAGGAAUCAGCACGGCUCUGCUCACUCCGAAGGCUCCAGGAGAGAACCUUUCUUUGCUUCUUCCAGCAUCUGGUGGCUGCAGGCAUUCCCUGGAUUGUGGCAAAGUGUGUGGUGCAACAGCAGAGUGGAAAGAGAAUGUGUGGAUCAGACAUACCUGGGUGGAAACUGACUUUACCAACGACUGGCUGGCUGCAAGACCUUGGCGAUUAUCCUUAACCUAGCCUCAGUCUCAACCUGUGACACGGCAAUGGCAGCUUAGAGAGGUUAAGCUACUUGAGUCACACCCGUGUCAGGUGGAGGAGCUGAACCUUGGAUGCAGGAGUAUCCGUUUCUACUGUCUCAACUCUUCCUAACUGCUUUGGAAUGACAGAAUGAGGAAAUGCACCCAACGUGAAUUUUGCGUUCACCAUUACCUGCAAAAUGUCAGUGGCUAAUGCCAGCUUUGGCUGACUGUCCUGAUAUCCAGAGCAAUGGUUCCUAAAUUUUGGUCCACGGUCCAGUGCCAGCUUAGGACCAAGGAUUCACAGUCUUUGAUGUGAGGAAAAUAAGAACAUAAAAUUGGCCAGGCGUGGUGGCUCACGGCUGUAAUCCCAACAAUUUGGGAGGCCCAGGCGGGCAGAUCACCUGAGGUUGGGAAUUCAAGACCAGCCUGACCAACAUGGUGAAACCCCAUCUCUACUAAAAAUACAAAAACUAGCUGCGCAUGGUCGCGCAUGCCUGUAAUCCCAGCUACUCAGGAGGCUGAGGCAGGAGACUCACUUGAACCCGGGAGAUGGAGGUUGCAGUGAGCUGAGAUCACACCACUGCACUCCAGCCUGGGUGACAGAGCGAGACUCCAUCUCAAAACAAACAAACAAACAAACAACAAACAAAAAACCCAUAAAAUUAAAUGUAUUAAAUUAAAGAACUGCCUUAACUAUGAGAUCAUGUUCAUUCAUUUUUGAGAGUCAAGUGACCCUUCCUUUCAUGAAAUAAUGGUGAUACCCUGAGGUCAGGAGUUCAAGACCAGCCUGGCCAACAUGGUGAAACCCUGUCUCUACUAAAAAUACAGAAAUUAGCCGUAUGUGGUGGCAGGUGCCUGUAAUCGCAGCUACUCGGGAGGCUGAGGCAGGAGAAUCUCUUGAACCUGGGAGAGGGGCUGUUGCAGUGAGCCAAGAUCACACCACUGCACUCCAGCCUAGGCAACAGAGCGAAACUCCAUCUCAAAAAUAAAUAAAUAAAUAAAUAAAUGAAAUAAUGGUGAUAGGAAUUCGUAGUUUUGUUGUUGUUGUUAUUUUUGUUUUUAAGUGCUCUUACUUGGCAAAAUAAACUUAUCAUACUGAGUUGAAAUCCCACUUUUUUUAGAUUGCUGUGGAAUCCCAAUGCCUGAGAAUGAUUGCUAUGGAGAAAGGAGGAAGUAAUAAAGUCCUGGGCCUCUGAGAGCAAAUAGGGAGGUGCCUUUAAUGGAUGAUUUUAGUGGAGACUGCAAUAAAAAUUCCUGUUCAUAAAUAUCACCUUUUCCACUGUGCCCAGCUUACUUUGAGUAGCCCUUGAAAAUAGGACCUAAAAUUCAU